CCUACGGGAGGCUGCAGUGGGGAAUAUUGGACAAUGGGGGGAACCCUGAUCCAGCCAUGCCGCGUGUGUGAAGAAGGCCCUCGGGUUGUAAAGCACUUUCAGUGAGGAAGAACGCCUGGUGGUUAAUACCCAUCAGGAAAGACAUCACUCACAGAAGAAGCACCGGCUAACUCCGUGCCAGCAGCCGCGGUAAUACGGAGGGUGCGAGCGUUAAUCGGAAUUACUGGGCGUAAAGCGCGCGUAGGUGGCUUGAUAAGCCGGUUGUGAAAGCCCCGGGCUCAACCUGGGAACGGCAUCCGGAACUGUCAAGCUAGAGUGCAGGAGGGGAAGGUAGAAUUCCCGGUGUAGCGGUGAAAUGCGUAGAGAUCGGGAGGAAUACCAGUGGCGAAGGCGGCCUUCUGGACUGACACUGACACUGAGGUGCGAAAGCGUGGGUAGCAAACAGGAUUAGAUACCCGUGUAGUC
This 465-nucleotide ribosomal RNA is filed under the name Vreelandella stevensii. RNAcentral describes it as "partial 16S ribosomal RNA". It matches the Rfam family "Bacterial small subunit ribosomal RNA", at positions 338 to 795 of the family's 1533-position model. Lineage: Bacteria; Pseudomonadati; Pseudomonadota; Gammaproteobacteria; Oceanospirillales; Halomonadaceae. The record is from RNAcentral.